RNAcentral lists this ribosomal RNA (426 nucleotides) under uncultured bacterium. Its description in RNAcentral is "bacterial SSU rRNA". It matches the Rfam family "Bacterial small subunit ribosomal RNA", at positions 356 to 773 of the family's 1533-position model. The record is from RNAcentral.
AGGGAAUCUUCCGCAAUGGACGAAAGUCUGACGGAGCAACGCCGCGUGAGUGAUGAAGGUCUUCGGAUCGUAAAACUCUGUUGUCAGGGAAGAACAAGUGCCGUUUGAAUAAGGCGGCACCUUGACGGUACCUGACCAGAAAGCCACGGCUAACUACGUGCCAGCAGCCGCGGUAAUACGUAGGUGGCAAGCGUUGUCCGGAAUUAUUGGGCGUAAAGCGCUCGCAGGCGGUUCCUUAAGUCUGAUGUGAAAUCUUGCAGCUUAACUGCAAACGGUCAUUGGAAACUGGGGGACUUGAGUACAGAAGAGGAGAGCGGAAUUCCACGUGUAGCGGUGAAAUGCGUAGAGAUGUGGAGGAACACCAGUGGCGAAGGCGGCUCUCUGGUCUGUAACUGACGCUCAGGAGCGAAAGCGUGGGUAGCGAAC